Molecule: non-coding RNA, 102 nt
Organism: Solanum tuberosum (potato)
Lineage: Eukaryota; Viridiplantae; Streptophyta; Magnoliopsida; Solanales; Solanaceae
Source: Rfam
GCUCCGUUGGAGACAUCUAAUAAAAUUGAAACAAUGCGGAAAAGAUUAGCAUGACCCAUGCAAAAGAAUUUGUAGUGUAUAUAAUACAUAAAUUGUCAUCUU